This 496-nucleotide ribosomal RNA is filed under the name uncultured bacterium. RNAcentral's name for it is "partial 16S ribosomal RNA". It matches the Rfam family "Bacterial small subunit ribosomal RNA", at positions 29 to 507 of the family's 1533-position model. The record is from RNAcentral.
AACGAACGCUGGCGGCGCGUCUUAAGCAUGCAAGUCGAACGGCAAGAGAGGAGCUUGCUUCACUCCUAGAGUGGCGGACUGGUGAGGAACACGUGGGUAAUCUACCCUUAAGAUGGGGAUAGCUGCUAGAAAUAGCAGGUAAUACCGAAUACACUCGGCAUAUCACAAGAGGUGUUGAGGAAAGGAAGCUACGGCUUCGCUUGAGGAUGAGCUUGCGUCCCAUUAGCUAGUUGGUGAGGUAAAGGCCCACCAAGGCGACGAUGGGUAUCCGGCCUGAGAGGGUGAACGGACACAUUGGGACUGAGAUACGGCCCAAACUCCUACGGGAGGCAGCAGCUAAGAAUAUUCCGCAAUGGACGGAAGUCUGACGGAGCGACGCCGCGUGGAUGAAGAAGGCUGAAAAGUUGUAAAAUCCUUUUGUUGAUGAAGAAUAAGGGUGAGAGGGAAUGCUCAUCUGAUGACGGUAAUCGACGAAUAAGCCCCGGCUAAUUACGUG